AUUGAACGCUGGCGGCAGGCCUAACACAUGCAAGUCGGACGGUAGCACAGAGGAGCUUGCUCCUCGGGUGACGAGUGGCGGACGGGUGAGUAAUGUCUGGGGAUCUGCCCGAUAGAGGGGGAUAACCAUUGGAAACGGUGGCUAAUACCGCAUAACGUCGCAAGACCAAAGAGGGGGACCUUCGGGCCUCUCACUAUCGGAUGAACCCAGAUGGGAUUAGCUAGUAGGCGGGGUAAUGGCCCACCUAGGCGACGAUCCCUAGCUGGUCUGAGAGGAUGACCAGCCACACUGGAACUGAGACACGGUCCAGACUCCUACGGGAGGGAGCAGUGGGGAAUAUUGCACAAUGGGCGCAAGCCUGAUGCAGCCAUGCCGCGUGUAUGAAGAAGGCCUUCGGGUUGUAAAGUACUUUCAGCGGGGAGGAAGGCGAUGUGGUUAAUAACCUUGUCGAUUGACGUUACCCGCAGAAGAAGCACCGGCUAACUCCGUGCCAGCCGCCGCCGUAA
RNAcentral lists this ribosomal RNA (506 nucleotides) under uncultured bacterium. RNAcentral's name for it is "partial 16S ribosomal RNA". It matches the Rfam family "Bacterial small subunit ribosomal RNA", at positions 30 to 523 of the family's 1533-position model. The record is from RNAcentral.